RNAcentral lists this transfer RNA (73 nucleotides) under Paramuricea clavata. It matches the Rfam family "tRNA". From Rfam's summary of the family: Transfer RNA (tRNA) molecules are approximately 80 nucleotides in length. Lineage: Eukaryota; Metazoa; Cnidaria; Anthozoa; Malacalcyonacea; Plexauridae. The record is from Rfam by way of RNAcentral.
GCCCGGUUAGCUCAGUUGGUAGAGCAUCAGACUUUUAAUCUGAGGGCGAUGGGUUCGAGUCUGAUAUCGGAAA